This is a long non-coding RNA of Populus trichocarpa (black cottonwood), 640 nucleotides long. RefSeq lists it as uncharacterized. The transcript has 3 exons. The record is from RefSeq and is a predicted model, not a curated record. NCBI's taxonomy places the organism in Eukaryota, Viridiplantae, Streptophyta, Magnoliopsida, Malpighiales, Salicaceae.
AAGAACUCUAAGCUCAUUAACCCUGGUCCAGCUGACUGAAUCCGCCAACGCCAAACUGCAAGUUUUCAACAGGUUGAACGGUCUCGGAGAAAAUAGGCUGUGGACCAAGGAGAUCAAUUUCCAGGAAAUCCAUUUAAUUUAAUUGGGGUUCCUGGAGAACAAGGAUAUCAAUUUCCAAGAAAUCCAUUUCAUUUUAAUUCGGUUCCUGUUCAUAGUUAGGGGUGAAUGCGAAUGCAACGCCAUGUGCCUGAUGUGAUUGCAAUUUUGAGAUGGCUGGAAGCCAAGAUGAUUAUUAGGGGUGUUUAUUGUCGGGUUCCAUUUCUUGAGAAAAUGAUCCGGAACGAACUGAAAAUCAAUUCAAAUUGAACAGUUCAGUUCGGUUCAUUCAAAAUCUUAAGGUUGUGGGAGCUUUAUACAUUGCCUGGAGUUUUUGUUUCAUUUAGGACCAGGCUGUGGGCUGUGAACAGGUGCGCUCCUUGAUUCGGCUAUACCAGACUUGGCAGCAGGCGCUCCAGGGCCUUUUGAUAUUCAGGAACAGUGAGAGACCAAGAAGACGACAUCCUGCACAAUGAUCAUUUUGCUAAAUGUUACGUUGGCUGCUAUAACUCUUUGCCUGCUCUUGGACUAUAAUUGGUCUCCA